Molecule: transfer RNA, 69 nt
Filed under: Necator americanus (New World hookworm)
Lineage: Eukaryota; Metazoa; Nematoda; Chromadorea; Rhabditida; Ancylostomatidae
Description: tRNA-Ile
Source: RNAcentral
CCAGCAGGGGUCGAACCUGCGACCUUGGGCUUAUUAGACCCACGCUCUAACCGACUGAGCUAUGGCGGC